RNAcentral lists this long non-coding RNA (883 nucleotides) under Pan troglodytes (chimpanzee). RNAcentral's name for it is "lncRNA (ENSPTRG00000054651.1)". Lineage: Eukaryota; Metazoa; Chordata; Mammalia; Primates; Hominidae. The record is from RNAcentral.
AAUACUUGCUAAAAUGCUUGACAAAUUUUUUGAAAAGUUAUCUGGCUUAAAAUAUGGCUGGGUUUGCCCAUCCCUUUAAGAGACCAGCUGUUGAUGUAUCAUUAAAGGCCAAAAAAAAAAAAAAAAAAAAAAGUCAAUUCACCUGUGUCUGUAACCAGGCGUGUCAUAUGUAGACACUUAUACCGUGGGAGGUCACUUUAUGUGGGUUUGCAUUGACAAAAAAAGAAAGGUGUCAAACUCCAGUAGCAAAGAUAUAAACUUGUAUCAGUAGGAGAGAUAUUUACAGAACACAGCACAUUCUUUUCAAAGCAUACAUUUUUGGAAUGGCAACAAUGAAGAAUUCCGUCUCCAUGGAGAACCCAUUUAUACGCCUUGUGGGGCUGGCAAAUGUUCCAAAUCUGCCACUAUGAAAUAAUUGGCAGCGAGGAUGGGAAAAAGAAAAACCUCAUCUUAAUGCGAAUGACUUACCAGGAAAUAAAACACAGGACCUCAGAUGAGUGGGCGUUCUCCAUAGCAAACCCUGCCCACUUAACAGUUUUGCCAAGAUAUGGUCCAGAUACAGGUCCUUACCUCUGGUUUGGCUUUCACAGUGAAGCCAAACCAGGACAGCUUGUUACACAGAGUCUGGAAAGCAGCCCUUCAUGUUGGGAUUCUGGAAUUGGGUCACUGACGAGUCAGAUUUCCAUAAGGAAAACAUACUUGGUUCUUUGCAUUAUUGGUAACCAUGUCUGCUGUGCUUUGGAAUAAGGUCCAAGAUUUGCAAAUGACUUUGGAACUCUCUCAAGAAAUCCCCUAUCCAAGAAAUGCAGGAUAAAUAGCCAUGUGGAGAUGAUCAACAUCAGGAGUAUGGUUGUACAACCAGAGCUGAUGAAUAAACUUUUAG